AACCAUUCUCACCUGCGGCUAGACCUGCGGAGGGAUCAUUACCGAGUGUGAACCCCCCCGUAAAAAAGAGGGGUUACCUCCCGUCCUUUGCUGGGAACCCCUUUCCAACUUGGAAGGAGGUUGUUUUCAGACCCUUCUGCUUCGGUGGGGUAACCCACCGGAACAACCUCAAAAAUAUUCUCAAUUCAAAACCGUUCAGUCCGAGAACUUUUUUGAAAAGCGAAAAAACUUUUAGCAACG
This 240-nucleotide unclassified non-coding RNA is filed under the name soil metagenome. RNAcentral's name for it is "partial contains 5.8S ribosomal RNA, internal transcribed spacer 2, and large subunit ribosomal RNA". The record is from RNAcentral.